RNAcentral lists this unclassified non-coding RNA (1193 nucleotides) under Amphimedon queenslandica. Its description in RNAcentral is "uncharacterized LOC109590953, transcript variant X4". Lineage: Eukaryota; Metazoa; Porifera; Demospongiae; Haplosclerida; Niphatidae. The record is from RNAcentral.
UCUACUCUUGAUAGUAUGGAUUGACGGCAUGUUAUUCAUUUGAAAGACAUUUUACAUGUUUCAACUCUUUCUCUUCUCCUUCCCUCUCUCCUUCUACAGGUCAGUAAAGGUUAUUCUUCAUUCUAUUGAGAAGGUUGAUGUUACACUGAUUGUCUCUUACGUUGUGAAGAAUGCUUCAUGGUCACCAAUUUAUGAUAUCAGAGUGUUCACUAAAGAUAAGACUCGGAAGUACUCCUGUAUAAAAUGCCCCUAAAGAAGAAGCCAAAAAGGGAGAGCUUUAAGAAAAAGGAUCAACAAGCUAUGGUAAAAAGUUUUCUCGAGUGUGAAGAAGAAGUAGUUGUGUCAUCUGAAAUCCAAGGAACCUCUCAUUACUUGUAUUAAAGAGAUGAUAAAAGACUACUCUUCGAGCUACAUGUACUCUUGUUUGUUUUAUCUCCAUUCAAAAAGAAAGCACUUUAUUAUAUAUCCGCUAGCUCUGGUAGGCAGACAGAAAAGCUCGUUAAAGUGGGGGUGUUUCACACUCCUACUCCUUUAACCCCACAUUAUGGACUCCUGUCCAAAAUACAUAGAUUAUUAUAAAGAAAGAGGAAGGUGCUGAUGGUAUCUUCCAGUCAACAGUACACCCCGAGGCAGUGAAUGGAGUGAUGGAGUUCAUGACUCGUUUUGAAGAGAAAAUGUCCUCACUGGAUGAGCGAUACCUUGAACUGUCCACUCAGAAGAAGAAGAUGGAGGAAGAGCUGAAAGUACUCACUACAAAACUUGAUAAUCUUAACAGUUCUUAUCAAGGAAAGGAGAGAGUAAGGUUAGACUAUUCAAUAAUAAUUAGUUAAUUUAAGCUUGCAUGAAUCUACAUGUACACGUACAUGUAUUUGUUACUCAUUCAGUACAAUCAUGUACCGGAACAUAUGUACUACACCACAUUUCCUAUACCACUACACAAGCGUACAAUCACAUUUUAAAAAUCUACCCGCACAUUAUACACAACAUUUUUAUCUUUUAAAGAAAAGGUUUAUGUGUUUACAUUAUUAACUAACAGACAGUAAAAAACAAUGGUAAUAUGUUGGUAUUAAUAUAAUAAUAAUACACAAACAGAACUACACAACGCAUGAAUGGAUAUACCCAAAUAAGGCAAUAAGACUAAUAUUGGAACUAAUAUCUAGUGCUGGGCGAUAGUGCUACUAUCAUAUCACGAU